This 253-nucleotide ribosomal RNA is filed under the name uncultured bacterium. Its description in RNAcentral is "partial 16S ribosomal RNA". It matches the Rfam family "Bacterial small subunit ribosomal RNA", at positions 524 to 776 of the family's 1533-position model. The record is from RNAcentral.
UACGUAGGGGGCAAGCGUUGUCCGGAAUCAUUGGGCGUAAAGCGCGUGUAGGCGGCCCGGUAAGUCAGACGUGAAAUCCCUCGGCUUAACCGGGGAACUGCGUCUGAGACUGAUGAGCUUGAGUGCAGGAGAGGAACGCGGAAUUCCAGGUGUAGCGGUGAAAUGCGUAGAUAUCUGGAGGAACACCGGUGGCGAAGGCGGCGUUCUGGACUGCAACUGACACUGAAAGACGAAAGCCAGGGGAGCAAACGGG